ACUCCUACGGGAGGCAGCAGUGGGGAAUAUUGCACAAUGGGCGCAAGCCUGAUGCAGCCAUGCCGCGUGUAUGAAGAAGGCCUUCGGGUUGUAAAGUACUUUCUAGCAGUGAGGAAGGACAGGUACGUUAAUAGCGUGCUUGUUUGACGUUAGCUGCAGAAGAAGCACCGGCUAACUCCGUGCCAGCAGCCGCGGUAAUACGGAGGUGCGAGCGUUAAUCGGAAUUACUGGGCGUAAAGCGACAUGCAGGUGGUUUGUUAAGUCAGAUGUGAAAGCCCGGGGGCUCAACCUCGGAAUUGCAUUUGAAACUGGCAGACUAGAGUACUGUAGAGGGGGGUAGAAUUUCAGGUGUAAGCGGUGAAAUGCGUAGAGAUACUGAA
Molecule: ribosomal RNA, 380 nt
Filed under: uncultured bacterium
Lineage: Bacteria
Description: bacterial SSU rRNA
Rfam family: Bacterial small subunit ribosomal RNA
Source: RNAcentral